AGUGAACGCUGGCGGUAGGCCUAACACAUGCAAGUCGAACGGCAGCACAGUAAGAGCUUGCUCUUACGGGUGGCGAGUGGCGGACGGGUGAGGAAUACAUCGGAAUCUACUUUUUCGUGGGGGAUAACGUAGGGAAACUUACGCUAAUACCGCAUACGACCUACGGGUGAAAGCAGUGGAUCUUCGGACCUUGCGCGAUUGAAUGAGCCGAUGUCGGAUUAGCUAGUUGGCGGGGUAAAGGCCCACCAAGGCGACGAUCCGUAGCUGGUCUGAGAGGAUGAUCAGCCACACUGGAACUGAGACACGGUCCAGACUCCUACGAGAGGCAGCAGUGGGGAAUAUUGGACAAUGGGCGCAAGCCUGAUCCAGCCAUACCGCGUGGGUGAAGAAGGCCUUCGGGUUGUAAAGCCCUUUUGUUGGGAAGGAAAAGCAGCAGGUUAAUACCCCGCUGUUCUGACGGUACCCAAAGAAUAAGCACCGGCUAACUUCGUG
RNAcentral lists this ribosomal RNA (492 nucleotides) under uncultured bacterium. RNAcentral describes it as "partial 16S ribosomal RNA". It matches the Rfam family "Bacterial small subunit ribosomal RNA", at positions 29 to 507 of the family's 1533-position model. The record is from RNAcentral.